Molecule: non-coding RNA, 96 nt
Filed under: Erwinia sp. JUb26
Lineage: Bacteria; Pseudomonadati; Pseudomonadota; Gammaproteobacteria; Enterobacterales; Erwiniaceae
Source: RNAcentral
CGCUAUCAUCAUUUAAUUUCAUUAUUACCUUCAUUCCCCCGAAUGAUUUGUGUCACCCCAAAUAUUUCCACCGGACUUUAUGGUCCGGUUUUUUUU